GAGUUUGAUCAUGGCUCAGGAUGAACGCUGGCGGCGUGCUUAACACAUGCAAGUCGAACGGAACAUAACCGAGGAAAUUUUUCGAAGUGGAAUCGGUUACGUUUAGUGGCGGACGGGUGCGUAACACGUGGGCAACCUGCCCUGCUUUUCGGAAUAACGCCGGGAAACCGUCGCUAAUGCCGAAUGAUAUGAGAAGAAGGCAUCUUUUUUUCAUCAAAGAAUUUCGAAGCAGGAUGGGCCCGCGCCGGAUUAGCUGGUUGGUGAGGUAACGGCUCACCAAGGCGACGAUCCGUAGCCGACCUGAGAGGGUGAUCGGCCACACUGGAACUGAGACACGGUCCAGAUUCCUACGGGAGGCAGCAGUGGGGAAUAUUGCACAAUGGGCGAAAGCCUGAUGCAGCAACGCCGCGUGAGCGAUGAAGGCUUUCGAGUCGUAAAGCUCUGUCGCAGGGGAAGAAA
RNAcentral lists this ribosomal RNA (459 nucleotides) under Peptostreptococcaceae bacterium canine oral taxon 005. Its description in RNAcentral is "bacterial SSU rRNA". It matches the Rfam family "Bacterial small subunit ribosomal RNA", at positions 9 to 450 of the family's 1533-position model. Lineage: Bacteria; Bacillati; Bacillota; Clostridia; Peptostreptococcales; Peptostreptococcaceae. The record is from RNAcentral.